AGAGUUUGAUCCUGGCUCAGGAUGAACGCUAGCUACAGGCUUAACACAUGCAAGUCGAGGGGCAGCAUGAAGGAAGCUUGCUUCCUUUGAUGGCGACCGGCGCACGGGUGAGUAACGCGUAUCCAACCUGCCUGAUACUCGGGUAUAGCCCAGUGAAAACUGGAUUAACCCCCGAUGUGGUCCUUUGCAGACAUCUAAUUAGGAUUAAAGUUUACGGUAUGGGAUGGGGAUGCGUCUGAUUAGCUUGUUGGCGGGGUAACGGCCCACCAAGGCGACGAUCAGUAGGGGUUCUGAGAGGAAGGUCCCCCACAUUGGAACUGAGACACGGUCCAAACUCCUACGGGAGGCAGCAGUGAGGAAUAUUGGUCAAUGGGCGAGAGCCUGAACCAGCCAAGUAGCGUGCAGGAUGACGGCCCUAUGGGUUGUAAACUGCUUUUGUGCGGGGAUAAAGUGGGGGACGUGUCCCUUUUUGCAUGUACCGUAUGAAUAAGGACCGGCUAAUUCCGUGCCAGCAGCCGCGGUAAUACGGAAGGUCCGGGCGUUAUCCGGAUUUAUUGGGUUUAAAGGGAGCGCAGGCCGAUGAUUAAGCGUGACGUGAAAUGUAGACGCUCAACGUCUGAACUGCAGCGCGAACUGGUUCUCUUGAGUGCGCGGGAAGUAGGCGGAAUUCGUCGUGUAGCGGUGAAAUGCUUAGAUAUGACGAAGAACUCCGAUUGCGAAGGCAGCUGACUGUAGCGUAACUGACGCUGAAGCUCGAAAGUGCGGGUAUCGAACAGGAUUAGAUACCCUGGUAGUCCGCACGGUAAACGAUGGAUGCCCGCUGUUUGCGAUAUAAUGUAAGCGGCCAAGCGAAAGCGUUAAGCAUCCCACCUGGGGAGUACGCCGGCAACGGUGAAACUCAANNGGAGGAACAUGUGGUUUAAUUCGAUGAUACGCGAGGAACCUUACCCGGGCUUGAACUGCAGGCGAACGAUUCAGAGAUGAUGAGGUCCUUCGGGACGCCGGUGGAGGUGCUGCAUGGUUGUCG
RNAcentral lists this ribosomal RNA (1027 nucleotides) under bovine gut metagenome. RNAcentral describes it as "bacterial SSU rRNA". It matches the Rfam family "Bacterial small subunit ribosomal RNA", at positions 8 to 1054 of the family's 1533-position model. The record is from RNAcentral.